Non-coding RNA from Struthio camelus australis, 1852 nucleotides. The record is from RefSeq and is a predicted model, not a curated record. NCBI's taxonomy places the organism in Eukaryota, Metazoa, Chordata, Aves, Struthioniformes, Struthionidae.
ACCGCUUGAUCUUUGUGUCUCUCCUACUUUUAAGCUUUCUAUGGCUAAUUAAUUGACAUAAUCCUGUCCUACGUAUUGUCUUCUUAGACCAGAACAUCGUAAGAGACAGCAGUUUUGCUCCAGCUGACUGAUCUCAUAUCUGGGAUUGAGAAGGAAAUUUUUCUUUCGUGAAAAAGUGUCAUGAAAUUUUGCCAGCAUUUUUAUCUUAGCAUCUAGGUCAUGGUGGUACUGCUGGGUUAAUGGUAAUAUGAUUUCCAGGAUUUUAUACUGAGAAGCUAAAACUUUUGGCACAUCACAGAGAGCUGUUAUAAAGCUAGAAGAUCAGUUCCCAGAAGCAGAUAAAACCUGAGACUAUGCCAGUGGAAUCUAAGCUUCCUGAAGCAGAAGUUGUCUGAAACUUCUCUGAGUAGAAGCUCUCACACAUAACACUUCUUUUUUUUCUCUCAAUGAAACCUACUUUAGUAAGGUGCUAGAUAAACCAAAUAAUUAAGUACACAUAUGCCACACUGGAAGAUUUGACUGCUGCUUUGGGUGUUCAUGGAGACAAAGCUGGUAAGCCUGAAGAGAUUUAGCUCAAAGAUAUUAUAGAAGAGUUUACUGGAAGCUGCAGAUUAUUGAGUUUGGAUGAUGGAAAUUGAUGAAAUUAAGAAGAAUGAUAUCUGAAAGACUUAUCCAGAUGUUAAUCACUGAGUACGUGAUAUGGUAUCAUCAGAGUUCAGUGAAGAUUCAUCAAUUAAAUAAGACCACUGACUUUGGGUAUCACAUGCUUUGUCCAAAGCUCAUUGCAGUGCAGCAGCAAGAGAAGUUUAAUGAAGAAGAACAACCCUAUUCUUUCUGAAGAUGGCUACAGGUAAAUUGGCAAUUCAAGUACUGCUUCUAAGCCUCUGCAUCUGGCCAUGUACUUUGGCAGCAUCCUAAUCCUGCAUUGGGGUUGUGUCUAUACAUGCAUCAGCUUUACCCACCUGCUUUUUACGUAUUGGUUGUGAAAGAAGGAAGUCUAAACAUUUGCACUGGAAGGAAACCUUAGUGUACUCUAUCCAGAUCUCUGAUGGCUGGAGGAGCAAGGUCCUGAGACCCAUCAAGAGAUGCUCGUGGUACCAGAGUUCUACCUAAUUCCUGGAAAAAAGACAAAAAAGAGGAAAUUCCAGGGCUAAGUACUACUCAAGGGAAUGAGAAAUGAAGGAAAUCUAAGGAGUAAGAAAUAAUAUUCAACCACUUAAACUCCUAGAAUUUCAUCUACAAAAGUUUUACUUCCGCCCUGCUCUGGAGUGAAAAAAACACCACAAUUUUGAUGGAAAGACCAGAGAGAAGUCUGGAAAGGCUGUCCACAAGAGAGCAUUGGCUUAGACGUGAAGUUGGAAUGAGGCCUGAAGAACAAAUUCAAACCCCAAAAAGAGAUAUUACAUAUGCCACGGAGUGAGCUGAAUAUUUCCUUGGUGCCAUUCUGUGGUAUUUGCAGCCCUCUUUGACAUUAUCAAAUGGAUUGACAUUUCAAAUAUUUGCAGUGCUCAGCGGGUACUAAUUCAGUGAAGGUGAACCAUGGGCUGCUCACAUAGUGGCACAGCAAGCGAUGUGUGUCUAUUUAAUCACAGCUGCUGAAAUGAGAUCAAAAGGCAGCGUGUUGUUAAACCCUUAAAGCUGCUGUCACAGCAGAGGGAUCAGGAGGGGCCCACCACAGGAAGCAGAGUAAAGAAAAAAUUUGGACUGGAGACUAAUGCGAUUCCACUAUCCAUGAUGCCUGUCUGUUUUAAAUGGAGAUGACUGAAGGAGGCUGUUCAGGAGGGCAUCUGCCCAGAGGAACCUUACCUAGCCAGGACUCUCUCCCACGUGGAUUUUCGCAGUGGCAGGAGGA